GUGGGGAAUAUUGGACAAUGGGCGAAAGCCUGAUCCAGCCAUGCCGCGUGUGUGAAGAAGGUCUUCGGAUUGUAAAGCACUUUAAGUUGGGAGGAAGGGCAGUAAGUUAAUACCUUGCUGUUUUGACGUUACCGACAGAAUAAGCACCGGCUAACUUCGUGCCAGCAGCCGCGAUAAUACGAAGGGUGCAAGCGUUAAUCGGAAUUACUGGGCGUAAAGCGCGCGUAGGUGGUUUUGUAAGUUGGAGGUGAAAUCCCCGGGCUCAACCUGGGAACUGCCUCCAAAACUGCAUGACUAGAGUACGGUAGAGGGUAGUGGAAUUUCCUGUGUAGCGGUGAAAUGCGUAGAUAUAGGAAGGAACACCAGUGGCGAAGGCGACUACCUGGACUGAUACUGACACUGAGGUGCGAAAGCGUGGGGAGCAAACAGGAUUAGAAACCCGUGUAGUCC
This 450-nucleotide ribosomal RNA is filed under the name uncultured bacterium. RNAcentral's name for it is "partial 16S ribosomal RNA". It matches the Rfam family "Bacterial small subunit ribosomal RNA", at positions 354 to 796 of the family's 1533-position model. The record is from RNAcentral.